Molecule: ribosomal RNA, 266 nt
Filed under: uncultured bacterium
Lineage: Bacteria
Description: partial 16S ribosomal RNA
Rfam family: Bacterial small subunit ribosomal RNA
Source: RNAcentral
UACGAAGGGGGCUAGCGUUGCUCGGAAUCACUGGGCGUAAAGGGUGCGUAGGCGGGUCUUUAAGUCAGGGGUGAAAUCCUGGAGCUCAACUCCAGAACUGCCUUUGAUACUGAAGAUCUUGAGUUCGGGAGAGGUGAGUGGAACUGCGAGUGUAGAGGUGAAAUUCGUAGAUAUUCGCAAGAACACCAGUGGCGAAGGCGGCUCACUGGCCCGGAACUGACGCUGAGGUGCGAAAGCGAUGGGGAGCAAACAGGGAUUAAGAAACC